Molecule: long non-coding RNA, 625 nt
Filed under: Equus asinus (donkey)
Lineage: Eukaryota; Metazoa; Chordata; Mammalia; Perissodactyla; Equidae
Description: lncRNA (ENSEASG00005028466.1)
Source: RNAcentral
CUCAGAGGGCACAGUGUCUGUGCACACUUCGGGGUGGGCCCAUUCAGGUCCACCAACAAUCCUGGCCUCAGAGACCUCACCAUCCGGGAGGAGCCCAGGGCGUUAUGUGGGCCCAGGGGUGGGGCUUCUGGCCAGGCCAAAGGCAGGGAAGUCUUCCUGGAGGAAGCGACAUCUCAGCUGCGUCCUGAAGGAGGUGUUGGUGGGACCCAGGCCCAGAAGAGGGGCAGGAUGACACAGGCAGAGGACACAGCUGGCGCAGGCGGCGGGGGGUACAAGGCACAGUCCCUGUCCUCUCGGAGCGACUGUGCUGGAGGAGACAGACAGUGGGGGCAGUGACAGGGAAGCCCUCCGUGAGCAGCAGCUCGAGUACAGCCCUUGGCUGCUCUCCUGCAGAAUGUCCUGCACGACAUGCAGCAUGGUCUGGGGUACACGUUUGUUUUCUUGUCACCCAGCUUCUUGUCUGUCUCCCCACCAACUGCGAGGUCCCCAGGGAAGGUACCUGGCCCACUGGGGUCACACCUCGAUCGCCAGCACCUAGCACAGCACCCCCAUACCUGCUCACUGAAUAACUGUCACUGAGAGCAGGAGCCCAGAGACUGGGCAGUGGUCAGAGAUAGCCGAGGCC